GCUUGGAGCAGAUUGACAUGUACUCGAGUCAACUUUUGUUAUGAGUCGAGACUCCUAGAGAGGACAGAAAAUUAUAUUUUUGGAUCUCUAAUUCGAGUCGAUCCCAAAAGGACUCGAGUCGAUCACAGGAUAAGUCGAGUCAACUCAUGAAAAUGACAAGCUGACUCUCUCAGAAAAAGAAUACAGAAUUUUUUUUAGAUCCUGAGGUCGAGUUGACUCAUAGGUAGCUCAAGUCGACCCGUGGGC
Molecule: long non-coding RNA, 246 nt
Filed under: Elaeis guineensis (African oil palm)
Lineage: Eukaryota; Viridiplantae; Streptophyta; Magnoliopsida; Arecales; Arecaceae
Description: long non-coding RNA (EGUI_LNC072698)
Source: RNAcentral